RNA transcript from Drosophila guanche, 530 nucleotides. RefSeq lists it as uncharacterized. Lineage: Eukaryota; Metazoa; Arthropoda; Insecta; Diptera; Drosophilidae. The transcript is spliced from 2 exons. The record is from RefSeq and is a predicted model, not a curated record.
UAUCGGCUGACUUCUAGAUUUAAUCUAGAUCUUUUCGAUCUAAGUACUGCCACUGACCAUAUAGUAUAGUGAUAUGGUGACAUGAUAGUUAUAUGGCUAGUGGUACUGCCCGGCGUUCAGCCGUUAGAAAAUAGUUUGUGCGCGCAAAAUUUUUGAUCAGUUCCAUACGAAUAUCACACUGAUUUUUCUAGAGGCCCCUUAUUUUCGAUCUGAGGCUUUUAGUCCGUCCCCUGGAUAUCGAGUCGAAAACACGCCUGACUUCCCCGAGAGUUAUCCGGGAACGAUACACCAGGGAGGCAAAAAGGCGAAUCAUAACCAAUUAAACCAAAGACCAGUAGGGGUCCAACAAAGACGUGGAAAUUGCACACGCCGGAGUGCUAAUAAGAUGUGUAAAUGUACCUCACGACACAAGCAAGCAUGAAGUCUUCAUAUUGGCGGGAAAUUCAUGGCAAAAGUGAGAGUUUCGAACGGUUUUGCCACUUUUGGAUUUUAAGAAAAAAUGAAUUUAAUGUGAAUAUAAAAUAAUUUUU